RNAcentral lists this ribosomal RNA (448 nucleotides) under uncultured bacterium. RNAcentral describes it as "bacterial SSU rRNA". It matches the Rfam family "Bacterial small subunit ribosomal RNA", at positions 328 to 774 of the family's 1533-position model. The record is from RNAcentral.
GAUCCAGACUCCUACGGGAGGCAGCAGUGAGGAAUAUUGGUCAAUGGUCGGGAGACUGAACCAGCCAAGCCGCGUGAGGGAUGAAGGUACAGAGUAUCGUAAACCUCUUUUGUCAGGGAACAAAGGCGGGGACGUGUCCCCGGAUGAGUGUACCUGAAGAAAAAGCAUCGGCUAACUCCGUGCCAGCAGCCGCGGUAAUACGGAGGAUGCGAGCGUUAUCCGGAUUUAUUGGGUUUAAAGGGUGCGUAGGCGGAGUGUCAAGUCAGCGGUAAAAUUGCGGGGCUCAACCCCGUCGUGCCGGUGAAACUGACACCCUUGAGUGAGUGAGAAGUAAGCGGAAUGCGUGGUGUAGCGGAGAAAUGCAUAGAUAUCGCGCAGAACUCCGAUUGCGAAGGCAGCAUACCGGCGCCCAACUGACGCUGAAGCACGAAAGCGUGGGUAUCGAACA